RNAcentral lists this non-coding RNA (45 nucleotides) under Schistosoma margrebowiei. Lineage: Eukaryota; Metazoa; Platyhelminthes; Trematoda; Strigeidida; Schistosomatidae. The record is from RNAcentral.
AUUCAGAUGACGAGUCCCAAACAGGACGAAAUGCGCGUCCUGGAU